Molecule: long non-coding RNA, 199 nt
Filed under: Physcomitrium patens
Lineage: Eukaryota; Viridiplantae; Streptophyta; Bryopsida; Funariales; Funariaceae
Description: long non-coding RNA (PPAT_LNC009707)
Source: RNAcentral
GAGGGGGUCUAAAUAAAAGUAGAGAAUGAAAGAAGCGGAGAUUAGGAAGAAAGGGAUUUGGAUGAGAGCAAGGAAUGGAAAGAGUAGCAAGUGAGAAUGAGGGAGAUUGACAUGAGAGUUGAAAACCAAAGAAACAAGGGCUAUGAACAAAGAGGGUGGAGAUGAAGGUUAAAAUAAGGUGAGUUGAUUUAAUAAAUGG